UAUUUUGAGACGAUGAGCAGAUGCAUCAAGAUUAAUGGUUGCACUAAAAGUGGAGC
This 56-nucleotide small RNA is filed under the name Caenorhabditis elegans. RNAcentral's name for it is "Unclassified non-coding RNA R151.14". Lineage: Eukaryota; Metazoa; Nematoda; Chromadorea; Rhabditida; Rhabditidae. The record is from RNAcentral.